UUAAGCGACUAAGCGUACACGGUGGAUGCCCUGGCAGUCAGAGGCGAUGAAGGACGUGCUAAUCUGCGAUAAGCGUCGGUAAGGUGAUAUGAACCGUUAUAACCGGCGAUUUCCGAAUGGGGAAACCCAGUGUGUUUCGACACACUAUCAUUAACUGAAUCCAUAGGUUAAUGAGGCGAACCGGGGGAACUGAAACAUCUAAGUACCCCGAGGAAAAGAAAUCAACCGAGAUUCCCCCAGUAGCGGCGAGCGAACGGGGAGGAGCCCAGAGCCUGAAUCAGUGUGUGUGUUAGUGGAAGCGUCUGGAAAGGCGCGCGAUACAGGGUGACAGCCCCGUACACAAAAAUGCACAUGCUGUGAGCUCGAUGAGUAGGGCGGGACACGUGGUAUCCUGUCUGAAUAUGGGGGGACCAUCCUCCAAGGCUAAAUACUCCUGACUGACCGAUAGUGAACCAGUACCGUGAGGGAAAGGCGAAAAGAACCCCGGCGAGGGGAGUGAAAAAGAACCUGAAACCGUGUACGUACAAGCAGUGGGAGCACGCUUAGGCGUGUGACUGCGUACCUUUUGUAUAAUGGGUCAGCGACUUAUAUUCUGUAGCAAGGUUAACCGAAUAGGGGAGCCGAAGGGAAACCGAGUCUUAACUGGGCGUUAAGUUGCAGGGUAUAGACCCGAAACCCGGUGAUCUAGCCAUGGGCAGGUUGAAGGUUGGGUAACACUAACUGGAGGACCGAACCGACUAAUGUUGAAAAAUUAGCGGAUGACUUGUGGCUGGGGGUGAAAGGCCAAUCAAACCGGGAGAUAGCUGGUUCUCCCCGAAAGCUAUUUAGGUAGCGCCUCGUGAAUUCAUCUCCGGGGGUAGAGCACUGUUUCGGCAAGGGGGUCAUCCCGACUUACCAACCCGAUGCAAACUGCGAAUACCGGAGAAUGUUAUCACGGGAGACACACGGCGGGUGCUAACGUCCGUCGUGAAGAGGGAAACAACCCAGACCGCCAGCUAAGGUCCCAAAGUCAUGGUUAAGUGGGAAACGAUGUGGGAAGGCCCAGACAGCCAGGAUGUUGGCUUAGAAGCAGCCAUCAUUUAAAGAAAGCGUAAUAGCUCACUGGUCGAGUCGGCCUGCGCGGAAGAUGUAACGGGGCUAAACCAUGCACCGAAGCUGCGGCAGCGACACUAUGUGUUGUUGGGUAGGGGAGCGUUCUGUAAGCCUGUGAAGGUGUGCUGUGAGGCAUGCUGGAGGUAUCAGAAGUGCGAAUGCUGACAUAAGUAACGAUAAAGCGGGUGAAAAGCCCGCUCGCCGGAAGACCAAGGGUUCCUGUCCAACGUUAAUCGGGGCAGGGUGAGUCGACCCCUAAGGCGAGGCCGAAAGGCGUAGUCGAUGGGAAACAGGUUAAUAUUCCUGUACUUGGUGUUACUGCGAAGGGGGGACGGAGAAGGCUAUGUUGGCCGGGCGACGGUUGUCCCGGUUUAAGCGUGUAGGCUGGUUUUCCAGGCAAAUCCGGAAAAUCAAGGCUGAGGCGUGAUGACGAGGCACUACGGUGCUGAAGCAACAAAUGCCCUGCUUCCAGGAAAAGCCUCUAAGCAUCAGGUAACAUCAAAUCGUACCCCAAACCGACACAGGUGGUCAGGUAGAGAAUACCAAGGCGCUUGAGAGAACUCGGGUGAAGGAACUAGGCAAAAUGGUGCCGUAACUUCGGGAGAAGGCACGCUGAUAUGUAGGUGAGGUCCCUCGCGGAUGGAGCUGAAAUCAGUCGAAGAUACCAGCUGGCUGCAACUGUUUAUUAAAAACACAGCACUGUGCAAACACGAAAGUGGACGUAUACGGUGUGACGCCUGCCCGGUGCCGGAAGGUUAAUUGAUGGGGUUAGCGCAAGCGAAGCUCUUGAUCGAAGCCCCGGUAAACGGCGGCCGUAACUAUAACGGUCCUAAGGUAGCGAAAUUCCUUGUCGGGUAAGUUCCGACCUGCACGAAUGGCGUAAUGAUGGCCAGGCUGUCUCCACCCGAGACUCAGUGAAAUUGAACUCGCUGUGAAGAUGCAGUGUACCCGCGGCAAGACGGAAAGACCCCGUGAACCUUUACUAUAGCUUGACACUGAACAUUGAGCCUUGAUGUGUAGGAUAGGUGGGAGGCUUAGAAGUGUGGACGCCAGUCUGCAUGGAGCCGACCUUGAAAUACCACCCUUUAAUGUUUGAUGUUCUAACGUUGACCCGUAAUCCGGGUUGCGGACAGUGUCUGGUGGGUAGUUUGACUGGGGCGGUCUCCUCCUAAAGAGUAACGGAGGAGCACGAAGGUUGGCUAAUCCUGGUCGGACAUCAGGAGGUUAGUGCAAUGGCAUAAGCCAGCUUGACUGCGAGCGUGACGGCGCGAGCAGGUGCGAAAGCAGGUCAUAGUGAUCCGGUGGUUCUGAAUGGAAGGGCCAUCGCUCAACGGAUAAAAGGUACUCCGGGGAUAACAGGCUGAUACCGCCCAAGAGUUCAUAUCGACGGCGGUGUUUGGCACCUCGAUGUCGGCUCAUCACAUCCUGGGGCUGAAGUAGGUCCCAAGGGUAUGGCUGUUCGCCAUUUAAAGUGGUACGCGAGCUGGGUUUAGAACGUCGUGAGACAGUUCGGUCCCUAUCUGCCGUGGGCGCUGGAGAACUGAGGGGGGCUGCUCCUAGUACGAGAGGACCGGAGUGGACGCAUCACUGGUGUUCGGGUUGUCAUGCCAAUGGCACUGCCCGGUAGCUAAAUGCGGAAGAGAUAAGUGCUGAAAGCAUCUAAGCACGAAACUUGCCCCGAGAUGAGUUCUCCCUGACCCUUUAAGGGUCCUGAAGGAACGUUGAAGACGACGACGUUGAUAGGCCGGGUGUGUAAGCGCAGCGAUGCGUUGAGCUAACCGGUACUAAUGAACCGUGAGGCUUAACCUU
This 2901-nucleotide ribosomal RNA is filed under the name Escherichia coli KTE111. RNAcentral describes it as "bacterial LSU rRNA". It matches the Rfam family "Bacterial large subunit ribosomal RNA". Lineage: Bacteria; Pseudomonadati; Pseudomonadota; Gammaproteobacteria; Enterobacterales; Enterobacteriaceae. The record is from RNAcentral.